Molecule: ribosomal RNA, 1318 nt
Filed under: wastewater metagenome
Description: bacterial LSU rRNA
Rfam family: Bacterial large subunit ribosomal RNA
Source: RNAcentral
GGUCGAGUAGACCAAGGUGCUCGGGAGAACCCUCGUUAAGGAACUCGGCAAUACAGCGACCGUAACUUCGGGAUAAGGUCUGCCCCGCCACACUGUUCGCAGUCGUGGCUUGCCUGUAAGUUUCGAAUACAAAAAAUUCUAUAUCGGAGCUACAGUCUCUUCGCAUUAUCUGUUGAUAGUGUGGCGGGGCCGCAGCGAAAGAACCCAUGCGACUGUUUAUCAAAAACACAGGUCCGUGCUAACUCGAAAGAGGAUGUAUACGGGCUGACGCCUGCCCAGUGCUGGAAGGUUAAAGGGCGGUGUGCAAGCACCAAACUGAAGCCCCAGUGAACGGCGGCCCUAACUAUAAGGGUCCUAAGGUAGCGAAAUUCCUUGUCAGGUAAGUUCUGACCCGCACGAAUGGCGUAACGAUAUGGGCACUGUCUCAACGAGGGACCCGGUGAAAUUGCAUUAGCGGUAAAGAUGCCGUUUACCCGCACCAAGACGGAGAGACCCCGUGCAGCUUUACUACAGCUUGGCAUUGUGUCCGAGUCCGACAUGUGUAGUAUAGGUGGGAGACUUUGAAGCAUUGACGCUAGUCGAUGUGGAGUCGAAAUAUGAAAUACCACCCUUGUCGUGCUUUGACACUUACCCAGCCCGUUAUCCGGGUUGGGGACCGUGUCUGGUGGGUAGUUUAACUGGGGCGGUUGCCUCCUAAAGAGUAACGGAGGCGUUCAAAGGUUGGCUAACUUCGGAUGGAAAUCGAAGUGAUAGUGUAAGCGCACAAGCCAGCUUGACUGCGAGACAUACACGUCGAGCAGGUACGAAAGUAGGAGCUAGUGACCCACUAUUGGAAAGUGGAAUCGGUAGUGCUCAACGGAUAAAAGCUACGCCGGGGAUAACAGGCUUAUAGCGCCCAAUCGUCCACAGAGACGGCGCUGUUUGGCACCUCGAUGUCGGCUCGUCCUAUCCUGGGGCUGAAGCAGGUCCCAAGGGUUUGGCUGUUCGCCAAUUAAAAAGGUACGCGAGCUGGGUUCAGAACGUCGUGAGACAGUUCGGUCCCUAUCUGGUGUGGGCGUAAGGAAAUUUGAGGAGAGUUGCUCCUAGUACGAGAGGACCGGAGUGAACGAACCUCUGGUGUACCGGUUGUCGCGCCAGCGGCAUGGCCGGGUAGCUAUGUUCGGACGGGAUAAGCGCUGAAAGCAUCUAAGCGCGAAGCCUCUUCCAAGAUUAGUUUUCCCCAUUAGGCUCGUUAUAGACUAUGACGUUGAUAGGCGCCAGGUGUACGCACAGUAAUGUGUUCAGCCGAGGCGUACUAAUAGCCAAUUGACUUUUUCUU